AGGAGUAUAGUUAAAUAUAACAGUUUCUUUGCAAGAAAAAAGUACUAAUUAAUUAGUUUCCCUUA
This 65-nucleotide transfer RNA is filed under the name Symplanella unipuncta. RNAcentral's name for it is "tRNA-Ala". Lineage: Eukaryota; Metazoa; Arthropoda; Insecta; Hemiptera; Caliscelidae. The record is from RNAcentral.